RNAcentral lists this non-coding RNA (29 nucleotides) under Mus musculus (house mouse). Lineage: Eukaryota; Metazoa; Chordata; Mammalia; Rodentia; Muridae. The record is from RNAcentral.
UACCAUACAGGAAUCAUUCAUUUGGAAGC